GCCUACGGGAGGCAGCAGUGGGGAAUAUUGCACAAUGGGGGAAACCCUGAUGCAGCAACGCCGCGUGAGUGAUGACGGUCUUCGGAUUGUAAAACUCUAUCUUCAGGGACGAUAAUGACGGUACCUGAGGAGGAAGCCACGGCUAACUACGGACCAGCAGCCGCGGUAAUGAUGUA
This 176-nucleotide ribosomal RNA is filed under the name uncultured Clostridia bacterium. Its description in RNAcentral is "partial 16S ribosomal RNA". It matches the Rfam family "Bacterial small subunit ribosomal RNA", at positions 337 to 529 of the family's 1533-position model. The record is from RNAcentral. Lineage: Bacteria; Bacillati; Bacillota; Clostridia.